GUAUCCGUCGCUCAGUUGGAUAGAGUACUCGGCUACGAACCGAGCGGUCAUAGGCUCGAAUCCUUUCAGAUGUACCA
This 77-nucleotide transfer RNA is filed under the name Acinetobacter baumannii. Its description in RNAcentral is "tRNA-Arg(acg)". It matches the Rfam family "tRNA". Rfam says of the family: Transfer RNA (tRNA) molecules are approximately 80 nucleotides in length. Their secondary structure includes four short double-helical elements and three loops (D, anti-codon, and T loops). RNAcentral also lists the same sequence under 2 other names. Lineage: Bacteria; Pseudomonadati; Pseudomonadota; Gammaproteobacteria; Moraxellales; Moraxellaceae. The record is from RNAcentral.